RNAcentral lists this ribosomal RNA (464 nucleotides) under uncultured bacterium. Its description in RNAcentral is "partial 16S ribosomal RNA". It matches the Rfam family "Bacterial small subunit ribosomal RNA", at positions 339 to 795 of the family's 1533-position model. The record is from RNAcentral.
CUACGGGGUGCUGCAGUGGGGAAUAUUGGACAAUGGGGGAAACCCUGAUCCAGCAAUGCCGCGUGUGUGAAGAAGGCCUGCGGGUUGUAAAGCACUUUCGGUUGGGAGGACUGCUUCUAGCACUAAUAUUGUUGGAAGUUGACGUUACCUUCAGAAGAAGCACCGGCUAACUCCGUGCCAGCAGCCGCGGUAAUACGGAGGGUGCAGCGUUAAUCGGAAUUACUGGGCGUAAAGCGCGCGUAGGCGGCUAGAUCAGUCGGGUGUGAAAGCCCCGGGCUUAACCGGGGAACUGCAUCCGAUACUGUCUAGCUUGAGUACAGGAGAGGAGAGUGGAAUUCCACAUGUAGCGGUGAAAUGCGUAGAUAUGUGGAGGAACACCAAUGGCGAAGGCAGCUCUCUGGCCUGAUACUGACGCUGAGGUGCGAAAGCGUGGGGAGCAAACAGGAUUAGAUACCCUUGUAGUC